Molecule: ribosomal RNA, 253 nt
Filed under: uncultured bacterium
Lineage: Bacteria
Description: partial 16S ribosomal RNA
Rfam family: Bacterial small subunit ribosomal RNA
Source: RNAcentral
UACGAAGGGGGCUAGCGUUGCUCGGAAUCACUGGGCGUAAAGCGCACGUAGGCGGACUCUUAAGUCGGUGGUGAAAUCCUGGAGCUCAACUCCAGAACUGCCUUCGAUACUGGGAGUCUCGAGUCCGGGAGAGGUGAGUGGAACUGCGAGUGUAGAGGUGAAAUUCGUAGAUAUUCGCAAGAACACCAGUGGCGAAGGCGGCUCACUGGCCCGGUACUGACGCUGAGGUGCGAAAGCGCGGGGAGCAAACAGG